Molecule: non-coding RNA, 107 nt
Organism: Gossypium raimondii (Peruvian cotton)
Lineage: Eukaryota; Viridiplantae; Streptophyta; Magnoliopsida; Malvales; Malvaceae
Source: Rfam
AUCCCAUGAUGAGGGCAUUUACGAAGUAAUUCUUUGAAUUUCUCCCGUGCCUCGUACAAAAAAUCAUCAUCCAAUUGUUGAAAAGUCUUUAUCUCAUUUCGCAACUU